AUUGAACGCUGGCGGCAUGCCUAACACAUGCAAGUCGAGCGGAUGAAGGGAGCUUGCUCCUGGAUUCAGCGGCGGACGGGUGAGUAAUGCCUAGGAAUCUGCCUGGUAGUGGGGGAUAACGUCCGGAAACGGGCGCUAAUACCGCAUACGUCCUGAGGGAGAAAGUGGGGGAUCUUCGGACCUCACGCUAUCAGAUGAGCCUAGGUCGGAUUAGCUAGUUGGUGGGGUAAAGGCCUACCAAGGCGACGAUCCGUAACUGGUCUGAGAGGAUGAUCAGUCACACUGGAACUGAGACACGGUCCAGACUCCUACGGGAGGCAGCAGUGGGGAAUAUUGGGCAAUGGGCGAAAGCCUGAUCCAGCCAUGCCGCGUGUGUGAAGAAGGUCUUCGGAUUGUAAAGCACUUUAAGUUGGGAGGAAGGGCAGUAAGUUAAUACCUUGCUGUUUUGACGGUACCAACAGAAUAAGCACCGGCUAACUACGUG
This 484-nucleotide ribosomal RNA is filed under the name uncultured bacterium. RNAcentral describes it as "partial 16S ribosomal RNA". It matches the Rfam family "Bacterial small subunit ribosomal RNA", at positions 30 to 507 of the family's 1533-position model. The record is from RNAcentral.